GUCCACGCUGUAAACGAUGGAUGCUAGUUGUCGCGGGUAACCAACCCUGCGGUGACGAAGCUAACGCGAUAAGCAUCCCGCCUGGGGAUUACGGCCGCAAGGCUAAAACUCAAAGGAAUUGACGGGGGCCCGCACAAGCGGUGGAGUAUGUGGUUUAAUUCGACGCAACGCGCAGAACCUUACCCAGACUUGACAUCCUCGGAACCUGGCCGAAAAGCUGGGGUGCUCGCAAGAGAACCGGGAGACAGGUGCUGCAUGGCUGUCGU
This 266-nucleotide ribosomal RNA is filed under the name uncultured bacterium. Its description in RNAcentral is "partial 16S ribosomal RNA". It matches the Rfam family "Bacterial small subunit ribosomal RNA", at positions 793 to 1055 of the family's 1533-position model. The record is from RNAcentral.